GUUUUAUUCCUCAGUUGCUCCUGGUUUGGUUUUGUAAGUUACUACAGCACAAGUGUGAUUUAUGACAUUUCUCAGCUCCAUCAGUCAAGGACUGCUUCAUAGAGCCAUUUUUCUAUUGAAAGCCCUCACGCAUUUAGACGGGUCCUUACAUGCUGCUCAUUCUUGAUAGGGACAGGAACCAGAGGCAGUGUAUCAUCUGAGUGCAUCUCCCGCUUUCUUGUAUGAAUAUAUCAGCACUGACCAGACAGUCCCUGACAUUUAGUGAUCUGUGAUGAUCAGCAUAAACCUUAAAUUAUCCAAUGUCUGCCUGAAGUGCUUUCAAAAGUUUGCCACUGAUCUGAUGUACAUCAUGGUUCAAAGAACAGCUACUGCAGGCCCGGUUCCAGCGAUCACCCCGAACCCUCGUAGAGUUUAAUUAACAUCACCAGUGUGCUCACUGAGAAUGUGCAGCAGUGCAGGAAGCUGCAAGUGCUCAAAUGAUUUGGGAGUAAAGUGCAUGGCUCAUACUUUCUAUAGCACACUCGGGAUGAAUGUUUUUUUUUUUUUGUUUUUUUUAACUCGAACUCUUUCUAUGAUUUUAUUUUACAGUGCUUGAGAGCUGUGUCAUACUUGAAAAAUAUGUGAUUAAUGGGCACCGCCCUCUAGGGCCACCAGCACAUUUUCAUUUCCCAAAGCUAUAUAGAACAUUGUAAUUCAAAGUAAAGGAUAAUAAAGCUUUGUGUGCAACAAAGACAUGCUCCUCUGGUGCAGAGUUUAAAAGUGUCACCUAGAUACAUCCCCAGAGCAUAGCAAACUCUCUAGGUAGCAAAUAAGCUACUUCACUGACAUUUUGAACCUGUUGUAAAGAGACCAGGAGCCUACAGCUAUGCUAGCGGCUCUGUGAGGCUGUAGCUAGGCACAGUAGGGCUUUGAACUAAAUGCUAACAUCAGCAUGCUAGCAAUAUUACAAGUCCUAACGGGCUCAUAUUUAGCAGGUUUACGCCAUAGCUAAAUAUGGUUAAAAGUGUUGGUAUGUACAGUGUCAAACCUCCUUUACUCAUAGGCAACAUAAAGCUAAACUUGAUUUUUUAAAAUAAUUGAAAAUACAUUAUUUAAAAACAAACAAAAAGGUGAUAUGUCUCUAUUUGACAAAAGAAAAAAUUACAUUCAGU
Molecule: long non-coding RNA, 1151 nt
Organism: Astatotilapia calliptera (eastern happy)
Lineage: Eukaryota; Metazoa; Chordata; Actinopteri; Cichliformes; Cichlidae
Source: Ensembl